Long non-coding RNA from Felis catus (domestic cat), 282 nucleotides. RefSeq lists it as uncharacterized. The record is from RefSeq and is a predicted model, not a curated record. The transcript is spliced from 2 exons. Lineage: Eukaryota; Metazoa; Chordata; Mammalia; Carnivora; Felidae.
CAAAUCUCUCUAGUUCAGUGAGAACUGAACAGAAGGAAACACAUGUGAAUAAGUAGCUUAGGAACUCCUGAGUUCUCUUUGGAGAUCUUUGGAGAAGCUGAUCCUGGAUGCACGUAUUCACCUCUGCCAGGAGGGGAGAGGACUCUGAAGACCAAGAAGAGGACUGAGCCACAAUAUGGAAGAUCAUUUUCCAAAAAUAGCCAAGCGAAGACCCCUCAACCAGGAGGAUUCUUGGUAGACUGUGACAUAAAAACAAAAUAAAGAUUGACUGUGUUAAAUUGC